CGGGAUCGGAUGACGGGGGCACCGCUCCGGAGGGAGUUAACUGCCAUACGUUCGUCCGGCACCGCAUCGGUGUUCCAGCCGCGAUAUUGUUUGCCCGGCCCGCCGGGUGCAGCCCCCGUCCGUUGCCGGGCAGGCACAUUCGCCCGCUGC
Long non-coding RNA from Bufo bufo (common toad), 150 nucleotides. RefSeq lists it as uncharacterized. The record is from RefSeq and is a predicted model, not a curated record. Lineage: Eukaryota; Metazoa; Chordata; Amphibia; Anura; Bufonidae. The transcript has 3 exons.